AAAUGCACCUGGGUUUGCGCCAUUCACCUUGGCUUGGAUUGAUUUCAUAUGCAGAACGAUAAGAGGUUUGAGACGAAGCUUUUGUUGCAGCAUUAGACUGAGAAAAUGUAUUUCUAUACCGUAAUUCUUGGGGAGCAGGCAUUCUACAGCAGCAGCAGCAGCAGGAGGCAUAGACCCAAAAAGCAGUUGGUAUAAGAUUGGGAAUUCUCGACUAUUUCUAGCCCUCGUCUAACUCCACAGUUCCAGUUAUUGCUAGCUUGAUCCUUGUUUGGCUUUGUUCAUGCAAAUUCGUUGCUGCCUCUCUCUCUCUCUCUCUCUCUAUCUCUCUCUCUCUCUCAACUUUCCACUAAUUUGUAAAGGCUGCUGCAUGCUUGUGGGAUAAUAUACAUACAUAAAUGUAAACAACUAAUCAUUAGUUGCUGGAAAUUUUGUUGAGA
Long non-coding RNA from Juglans regia (Persian walnut), 437 nucleotides. RefSeq lists it as uncharacterized. The record is from RefSeq and is a predicted model, not a curated record. The transcript has 2 exons. NCBI's taxonomy places the organism in Eukaryota, Viridiplantae, Streptophyta, Magnoliopsida, Fagales, Juglandaceae.